This is a long non-coding RNA of Gadus macrocephalus (Pacific cod), 1026 nucleotides long. RefSeq lists it as uncharacterized. The transcript has 6 exons. The record is from RefSeq and is a predicted model, not a curated record. NCBI's taxonomy places the organism in Eukaryota, Metazoa, Chordata, Actinopteri, Gadiformes, Gadidae.
UCCUGGUGGGCCCGGCGGCGGCGGCUCAUCAUCCAGUAAUGCUAAACUCUUCUCCAGUGCAUCAUGAACGGGGAGGAAUGUCCGGGGUGCAAAUAGAACGUGUGUCUCAUUUCAGAAGAAAUGAGGCGACGUUGCGGAGGUCCAGGCGGUUGGCCCGGUGGAGGUCCUGGAGGAGACGGUCCCGGCGGUGGAGGACGGCUGGGGGAUCCGGCGGUGGAGGACCGAAGGCGGGUCGUGAUUAGACCAACCAGCUCCUCAUCCAUGGAAGGAUUGAAGGAGUCACUGGGGAUGAAGAUCACUGCUCAGGGGCUGACGACCACUCAUCUUUCCGGAGAAGCGUCCUCAUGGUGCAGGCGGUCAAACCUUCACCUCUUUGAAGAGACCAAGCAGCUUGAUGACUGACUGGUUCUUUAUACUCAAGACCUCGUCCCGGAGCAGAGGACGGACCUAAGGCCCGCAGCGCAGCCGACUAGAGACUCCUUGUGGAACCGGUUCAAUUAAGUUGACCUCUCCUUCAGGCGACUUAAAGGGAGACCAGAUGUGCGGCAGCUGGGUGUCAUGGUGCAGAGACCCAACGCUGUACUGAACUACACCAGUGUGUCCUACUCCCAUAAACCCUGAGGAUCCCUGGAUGGCUACACCAGCACAUUAAUCCACACCCAACAUCAACACACAGUGCACACUCUAUAGAGCUCGUAAGUCCGCCCCUUGCGGCCGGACCUCGUGAGAUCGUAAGAUAUGACUGGGUUUCAAUGGAGAGAAAGUAAUUAUUUUCUCCAUUUUAUGUUGCACCACAUUUUGGGGGAAGAAUGUUUGAAUCAAUCUUUGUCAUUUAUUUCUGUACUCCAUAUCUGUAAUCCCAGCUGUUGUAUUUUAACACGGUAGCUGGGAACCCUCUUUAUAGGGAGCGACUAGAGGGACGAGACUGGAAGCAAACCUGAGCCUGGAUCUUAACCUUCUUUCUAAACCUAAUGCCGCAAUUUAACCGCAAAUAAAGUGAGGCCUAAAGUAACUUGACUCUCUUGC